Molecule: ribosomal RNA, 949 nt
Filed under: uncultured Bacteroidota bacterium
Lineage: Bacteria; Pseudomonadati; Bacteroidota
Description: bacterial SSU rRNA
Rfam family: Bacterial small subunit ribosomal RNA
Source: RNAcentral
GCUUUUGUACGAGAAGAAUUCUCUUGACGUGUCAGGGGUUGACGGUAUCGUACGAAUAAGCAUCGGCUAACUCCGUGCCAGCAGCCGCGGUAAUACGGAGGAUGCAAGCGUUAUCCGGAUUUAUUGGGUUUAAAGGGUGCGUAGGCGGGAUAUUAAGUCAGUGGUGAAAUCCUGCAGCUUAACUGUAGAACUGCCAUUGAUACUGAUAUUCUUGAGUAUAGUUGAAGUGGGCGGAAUGUGUAAUGUAGCGGUGAAAUGCUUAGAUAUUACACAGAACACCGAUUGCGUAGGCAGCUCGCUAAACUAAUACUGACGCUGAGGCACGAAAGCGUGGGGAGCGAACAGGAUUAGAUACCCUGGUAGUCCACGCUGUAAACUAUGAUCACUCGUUGUUGGCAAUACACAGUCAGCGACUGAGCGAAAGCAUUAAGUGAUCCACCUGGGGAGUACGGCCGCAAGGUUGAAACUCAAAGGAAUUGACGGGGGCCCGCACAAGCGGAGGAACAUGUGGUUUAAUUCGAUGAUACGCGAGGAACCUUACCUGGGCUUAAAUGCAGAACGACGUACCGGGAAACUGGUACUCCCUUCGGGGCGGACUGCAAGGUGCUGCAUGGUUGUCGUCAGCUCGUGCCGUGAGGUGUCGGGUUAAGUCCCAUAACGAGCGCAACCCUCAUUGUUAGUUGCCAGCGAGUAAUGUCGGGGACUCUAACGAAACUGCCGGUGUAAACCGUGAGGAAGGUGGGGAUGACGUCAAAUCAGCACGGCCCUUAUGUCCAGGGCUACACACGUGUUACAAUGGCCAGUACAAAGGCAGCUACCACGCGAGUGGAUGCUAAUCUCUAAAGCUGGUCUCAGUUCGGAUUGAAGUCUGCAACUCGACUUCAUGAAGCUGGAAUCGCUAGUAAUCGCGCAUCAGCCAUGGCGCGGUGAAUACGUUCCCGGGCCUUGC